RNAcentral lists this ribosomal RNA (253 nucleotides) under uncultured bacterium. RNAcentral describes it as "partial 16S ribosomal RNA". It matches the Rfam family "Bacterial small subunit ribosomal RNA", at positions 524 to 776 of the family's 1533-position model. The record is from RNAcentral.
UACGUAGGUGGCAAGCGUUGUCCGGAUUUACUGGGCGUAAAGAGCGCGCAGGCGGUCGUUCAAGUCGCGUGUGAAAGCCCCCGGCUCAACUGGGGAGGGUCACGCGACACUGACCGACUCGAAGGCAGGAGAGGGUAGUGGAAUUCCCGGUGUAGUGGUGAAAUGCGUAGAUGUCGGGAGGAACACCAGUGGCGAAGGCGACUACCUGGCCUGUUCUUGACGCUGAGGCGCGAAAGCUAGGGGAGCAAACGGG